This 532-nucleotide long non-coding RNA is filed under the name Microcebus murinus (gray mouse lemur). RNAcentral's name for it is "lncRNA (ENSMICG00000048400.1)". Lineage: Eukaryota; Metazoa; Chordata; Mammalia; Primates; Cheirogaleidae. The record is from RNAcentral.
CAUAUGCCAUAGUUGCUUACAUUUCCUGCUCUUUAUUUUUUUCUCAUGUAGACAACCCACUGAACUCCAAUGAGAAUGGCCUCUGUUCUGGUGAACUGAUUGUGAUGACAUUUGGUAUUUAAAGAGAACAAAGGUGUACAAAGAAGCUGGACAACAAGAUUAUGAGUCUGAAUAUCUGCAAAACCAAAUCCAAGCAACCUGGAGGCUAAUUGGCCUGAAGACAUCCCUUUGCUAAAGCCCGAAGGCAGGAGAUGCAGUCAGUUAAGCUCUAAUGGGCAAACCCAGGCAACUGCCCUCCCCUGAUUCCUCACAACUGCCAGAUCCAACAUGCCAGAAGCAAAACAAGUACACCAACUGUAUGCGCACUUCAUUCUCAUCAGCAAUGUCCUGUAUGGAACAGAGGAUGGAGUGAGUGGACGCUUUGCCUCGGCAGGGAGAGAUCAGCAACGAGACUCUGCUGAGCCCAGGACCCUGAGAUCUCACUCUAUUAGGCUGCAAUUCCCACUGCAGUGACUAGCGAUGAUUAUUACCA